Long non-coding RNA from Hypanus sabinus (Atlantic stingray), 639 nucleotides. RefSeq lists it as uncharacterized. Lineage: Eukaryota; Metazoa; Chordata; Chondrichthyes; Myliobatiformes; Dasyatidae. The record is from RefSeq and is a predicted model, not a curated record. The transcript is spliced from 2 exons.
UUUCCCUGGAGCAGAGAGUGAAAUGUUUUUAAUUUGCAGUCCAAUUGGAGGGACUGUUGAGAGGAUAUUGGAGUCUGUCUUCCACCUAUCUGAGAUGGUUAUCAGGAAUGUUGUGUAUGCAGGGCCUUUAGCAUUGUCAGUGAUCUCUCCCAUCCGCCCAACUAUCCCUUUACCAUCAGGCAGGAGGUACCAUACCAUUAGGACAAGAACUGUUAGAGUGAGAGACAGCUUCUUCCCCCCAGACUACUAAACUCCCUGCCACCAUCCAGGUCUCAUCACAUGUGAAGUGCCAGUUGUGUUAUUACUUUUUAACUUGUAUAUGCAUAUUAUUGUUUGUCCUGAUGAAGGGUCUUGGCCCGAAAUGUCAACUGUACUAUUUUUCCAUGGAUGCUGCCUGGCCUGCUGAGCUUCUCCACCAUUUUCUGUGUGUUACUUGGAUUUCCAGCAUCUGCAGAUUUUCUCUUGUUUGUGUUUGGUGUCAGUAGAAGCCUCUCCUGAUUUUGUGUCAGCCUGAAUGAUUUGAGACACGUCAAUGAAAUCUCCCCUUGACCAUUGCUGCCCAGGUAAUGCCCAACUCUGUUACCACUAUAGGGGAUCAUCUGAUACAUUUGUGCGCCCCUCCCACAUUCAGAAAACCUU